GUGCCAGCAGCCGCGGCGGUAAUACGGAGGGUCCGAGCGUUAAUCGGAAUUACUGGGCGUAAAGCGUGCGCAGGCGGUUUGUUAAGCGAGAUGUGAAAGCCCUGGGCUCAACCUAGGAAUCGCAUUUCGAACUGACCAACUAGAGUCUCGUAGAGGGGGGGAGAAUUCCAGGGGUUGCGGUGAAAUGCGUAGAGAUCUGGAGGAAUAACGGUGGCGAAGGCGGCCCCCUGGGCAAAGACCGACGCCCAUGCACGAAAGCGUGGGGGGCAAACAGGAUUAGAUACCCUGGUAGUCCAAGCCC
RNAcentral lists this ribosomal RNA (301 nucleotides) under uncultured bacterium. RNAcentral describes it as "bacterial SSU rRNA". It matches the Rfam family "Bacterial small subunit ribosomal RNA", at positions 505 to 802 of the family's 1533-position model. The record is from RNAcentral.